RNAcentral lists this ribosomal RNA (694 nucleotides) under uncultured bacterium. Its description in RNAcentral is "bacterial SSU rRNA". It matches the Rfam family "Bacterial small subunit ribosomal RNA", at positions 32 to 715 of the family's 1533-position model. The record is from RNAcentral.
AACGCUAGCUACAGGCUUAACACAUGCAAGUCGAGGGGCAGCAUGUUGGUUGCUUGCAACCAAUGAUGGCGACCGGCGCACGGGUGAGUAACGCGUAUCCAACCUUCCCCUUACUCGGGUCCAGCCCGUUGAAAGACGGAUUAAUCCCCGAUGCUCUCAUAUACUGGCAUCAGUUUAUGAGCAAAGAUUUAUCGGUAAGGGAUGGGGAUGCGUAUGAUUAGCUUGUUGGUGUGGUAACGGCUCACCAAGGCUACGAUCAUUAGGGGUUCUGAGAGGAAGGUCCCCCACACUGGAACUGAGACACGGUCCAGACUCCUACGGGAGGCAGCAGUGAGGAAUAUUGGUCAAUGGAGGCAACUCUGAACCAGCCAAGUAGCGUGCAGGAUGACGGCCCUAUGGGUUGUAAACUGCUUUUAUGCGGGGAUAAACGAGCCUACAUGUAGAUUUUUGCAGGUACCGCAUGAAUAAGGACCGGCUAAUUCCGUGCCAGCAGCCGCGGUAAUACGGAAGGUCCGGGCGUUAUCCGGAUUUAUUGGGUUUAAAGGGAGCGUAGGCGGCCUGUUAAGCGUGUUGUGAAAUGUGGGUGCUCAACAUCUGCACUGCAGCGCGAACUGGCGGGCUUGAGUGGGCUGAAAGUAUGCGGAAUUCGUGGUGUAGCGGUGAAAUGCUUAGAUAUCACGAAGAACUCCGAUUG